RNAcentral lists this ribosomal RNA (425 nucleotides) under uncultured bacterium. Its description in RNAcentral is "bacterial SSU rRNA". It matches the Rfam family "Bacterial small subunit ribosomal RNA", at positions 356 to 773 of the family's 1533-position model. The record is from RNAcentral.
GGGGAAUUUUGGACAAUGGGCGCAAGCCUGAUCCAGCCAUUCCGCGUGCAGGAUGAAGGCCUUCGGGUUGUAAACUGCUUUUGUACGGAACGAAACGGUCUGCCCUAAUACGGCGGGCUAAUGACGGUACCGUAAGAAUAAGCACCGGCUAACUACGUGCCAGCAGCCGCGGUAAUACGUAGGGUGCAAGCGUUAAUCGGAAUUACUGGGCGUAAAGCGUGCGCAGGCGGUUAUAUAAGACAGAUGUGAAAUCCCCGGGCUCAACCUGGGAACUGCAUUUGUGACUGUAUGGCUAGAGUACGGCAGAGGGGGAUGGAAUUCCGCGUGUAGCAGUGAAAUGCGUAGAUAUGCGGAGGAACACCGAUGGCGAAGGCAAUCCCCUGGGCCUGUACUGACGCUCAUGCACGAAAGCGUGGGGAGCAAAC